UNUGCUGUGAAAGGCUGGGGCUUAACCCUGGUUUUGCAGUGGGUACGGGCUAACUAGAGUGCAGUAGGGGAGACUGGAAUUCCUGGUGUAGCGGUGGAAUGCGCAGAUAUCAGGAGGAACACCGUUGGCGAAGGCAGGUCUNUGGGCUGUAACUGACGCUGAGAAGCGAAAGCAUGGGGAGCGAACAGGAUUAGAUACCCUGGUAGUCCAUGCCGUAAACGUUGGGCACUAGGUGUGGGGGACAUUCCACGUUUUCCGCGCCGUAGCUAACGCAUUAAGUGCCCCGCCUGGGGAGUACGGCCGCAAGGCUAAAACUCAAAGAAAUUGACGGGGGCCCGCACAAGCGGCGGAGCAUGCGGAUUAAUUCGAUGCAACGCGAAGAACCUUACCAAGGCUUGACAUAUACUGGACUGCGUCAGAGAUGGCGUUUCCCUUCGGGGCUGGUAUACAGGUGGUGCAUGGUUGUCGUCAGCUCGUGUCGUGAGAUGUUGGGUUAAGUCCCGCAACGAGCGCAACCCUCGUUCUAUGUUGCCAGCACGUGAUGGUGGGGACUCAUAGGAGACUGCCGGGGUCAACUCGGAGGAAGGUGGGGAUGACGUCAAAUCAUCAUGCCCCUUAUGUCUUGGGCUUCACGCAUGCUACAAUGGCCGGUACAGAGGGUUGCGAUACUGUGAGGUGGAGCUAAUCCCUAAAAGCCGGUCUCAGUUCGGAUUGGGGUCUGCAACUCGACCCCAUGAAGUCGGAGUCGCUAGUAAUCGCAGAUCAGCAACGCUGCGGUGAAUACGUUCCCGGGCCUUGUACACACCGCCCGUCAAGUCACGAAAGUUGGUAACACCCGAAGCCGGUGGNCUAACCCUGGUGGGGGGAGCCGUCGA
Molecule: ribosomal RNA, 875 nt
Filed under: uncultured bacterium
Lineage: Bacteria
Description: bacterial SSU rRNA
Rfam family: Bacterial small subunit ribosomal RNA
Source: RNAcentral